This 486-nucleotide long non-coding RNA is filed under the name Jatropha curcas. RNAcentral's name for it is "long non-coding RNA (JCUR_LNC002203)". Lineage: Eukaryota; Viridiplantae; Streptophyta; Magnoliopsida; Malpighiales; Euphorbiaceae. The record is from RNAcentral.
UUGAUGAACCUGAUCCAGAUGACUCAGAAGUAAAAGUAGGAGAUGGAAACAUCCAGGGACCCAAUCAGGACAAUUCUUUAAAGAUUAGAAGCAGGAAAGGCCAAGCCCAUCUAGAUAAGGUUUAUGGAGAACCUGAUCCUGAUGAAUCUCAAGCUGACAGAACUAUGCAGGUAGAGCCUGACCCUGAUGAUGAUUUGGCAGCCUCACAUGAAAUUUCAAGUAUGAAGAUUGAUGAAAGCAUGAUCAUUGAUGAACCUGAUCCAGAUGACUCAUAUGCAAAACAGAGCAAUUCACGACAUAGGAACAUCAAAGGAGCAGAUCAGAGCAAUACUCCUCUGACAGAAAGCAUAGAAGAUGCAGCCUGUCCAAAGAAGGCUUAUAGAGAACCUGAUCCUGAUGAAUCUCAAGCAAAUAGUGUUGUGGGAAUAGAGCCUGAUCCUGAUGAUGGUUUAUUGGCCUCACAGGAAAUAUCCAAUAUGAAAAUUG